AACUAUUUAUGCGUCAUUCUGUUAAAUUUCCCCUGUCGUUCUAAGUCACUAUAAAAACUUGAAAGACGAGUAGUAAAACAAUUCAAGCAGCUAAUAACCUUUAGAUAUACUCAUACUCGCACAUCCUGAGCAACCAAUCUGAUGAUCAAUAAAUCGCAUCAACUUUCGCCCGGACUCGCUUUCCCCGCAAAUUGCCAGCAGUAAAGGAAAUGGGGAAGUCCUGAGAUAUAUCUACUCAUAUCAUCGCAUAUUGGAGCCCAUAACUUAUGCACCGUGCAGAAGGAACUUUCGUCGGCAGACAAUGAAAUUUAUGAAACGGAAUGCAGAGCACUUGCAACUGUUGCAGGCGAGGAAUAAUAAUAAGAAGAAUAUGCUACAAAUUUGCUUUAUUUCACAUGCGAAAAAGUUGUAAAGUUUUGCUCACACCAUACCACAC
This is a non-coding RNA of Drosophila melanogaster (fruit fly), 436 nucleotides long. The record is from Ensembl. NCBI's taxonomy places the organism in Eukaryota, Metazoa, Arthropoda, Insecta, Diptera, Drosophilidae.